GACGAACUUUGGCGGCGUGCUUAACACAUGCAAGUCGAACGGAAAGGCCCUGCUUUUGUGGGGUGCUCGAGUGGCGAACGGGUGAGUAACACGUGAGUAACCUGCCCUUGACUUUGGGAUAACUUCAGGAAACUGGGGCUAAUACCGGAUAGGAGCUCCUGCUGCAUGGUGGGGGUUGGAAAGUUUCGGCGGUUGGGGAUGGACUCGCGGCUUAUCAGCUUGUUGGUGGGGUAGUGGCUUACCAAGGCUUUGACGGGUAGCCGGCCUGAGAGGGUGACCGGCCACAUUGGGACUGAGAUACGGCCCAGACUCCUACGGGAGGCAGCAGUGGGGAAUAUUGCACAAUGGGCGGAAGCCUGAUGCAGCAACGCCGCGUGCGGGAUGACGGCCUUCGGGUUGUAAACCGCUUUCGCCUGUGACGAAGCGUGAGUGACGGUAAUGGGUAAAGAAGCACCGGCUAACUACGUGCCAGCAGCCGCGGUGAUACGUAGGGUGCGAGCGUUGUCCGGAUUUAUUGGGCGUAAAGGGCUCGUAGGUGGUUGAUCGCGUCGGAAGUGUAAUCUUGGGGCUUAACCCUGAGCGUGCUUUCGAUACGGGUUGACUUGAGGAAGGUAGGGGAGAAUGGAAUUCCUGGUGGAGCGGUGGAAUGCGCAGAUAUCAGGAGGAACACCAGUGGCGAAGGCGGUUCUCUGGGCCUUUCCUGACGCUGAGGAGCGAAAGCGUGGGGAGCGAACAGGCUUAGAUACCCUGGUAGUCCACGCUGUAAACGGUGGGUACUAGGUGUGGGGUCCAUUCCACGGGUUCCGUGCCGUAGCUAACGCUUUAAGUACCCCGCCUGGGGAGUACGGCCGCAAGGCUAAAACUCAAAGGAAUUGACGGGGCCCCGCACAAGCGGCGGAGCAUGCGGAUUAAUUCGAUGCAACGCGUAGAACCUUACCUGGGUUUGACAUGGAUCGGGAGUGCUCAGAGAUGGGUGUGCCUCUUUUGGGGUCGGUUCACAGGUGGUGCAUGCCUGUCGUCAGCUCGUGUCGUGAGAUGUUGGGUUAAGUCCCGCAACGAGCGCAACCCUUGUUCACUGUUGCCAGCACGUUAUGGUGGGGACUCAGUGGAGACCGCCGGGGUCAACUCGGAGGAAGGUGGGGAUGACGUCAAGUCCUCAUGCCCCUUAUGUCCAGGGCUUCACGCAUGCUACAAUGGCUGGUACAGAGAGUGGCGAGCCUGUGAGGGUGAGCGAAUCCCGGAAAGCCGGUCUCAGUUCGGAUUGGGGUCUGCAACUCGACCUCAUGAAGUCGGAGUCGCUAGUAAUCGCAGAUCAGCAACGCUGCGGUGAAUACGUUCCCGGGGCU
This 1346-nucleotide ribosomal RNA is filed under the name uncultured bacterium. RNAcentral describes it as "bacterial SSU rRNA". It matches the Rfam family "Bacterial small subunit ribosomal RNA", at positions 28 to 1381 of the family's 1533-position model. The record is from RNAcentral.